GAUGAACGCUAGCGGCGUGCUUAACACAUGCAAGUCGAACGGAAAGGCUCCUGCUUGCAGGGGUACUCGAGUGGCGAACGGGUGAGUAACACGUGGGUGAUCUGCCCUGCACUUCGGGAUAAGCCUGGGAAACUGGGUCUAAUACCGGAUAGGACGAUGGUUUGGAUGCCAUUGUGGAAAGUUUUUCGGUGUGGGAUGAGCUCGCGGCCUAUCAGCUUGUUGGUGGGGUAAUGGCCUACCAAGGCGUCGACGGGUAGCCGGCCUGAGAGGGUGUACGGCCCACUUUGGGACGGAGAGACGGCCAGGACCCCAGGGGGAGGCAGCGGGGGGGAAUAGGGCAAAAGGGGCGAAGCCCGGAUGCAGCGCCGCGGCGGGGGGGAUGACGGCCUUGGGGUUGUAAACUCCUUUCGCGGGGGAAAAGGCGCAAGUGAGGUCACGGGGAAAAGAAGAACCGGAAAACUCCGGC
This 466-nucleotide ribosomal RNA is filed under the name uncultured bacterium. RNAcentral describes it as "partial 16S ribosomal RNA". It matches the Rfam family "Bacterial small subunit ribosomal RNA", at positions 28 to 508 of the family's 1533-position model. The record is from RNAcentral.